Molecule: ribosomal RNA, 506 nt
Filed under: Sordariomycetes sp. genotype 163
Lineage: Eukaryota; Fungi; Ascomycota; Sordariomycetes
Description: eukaryotic LSU rRNA
Rfam family: Eukaryotic large subunit ribosomal RNA
Source: RNAcentral
AUUGCCCCAGUAACGGCGAGUGAAGCGGCAACAGCUCAAAUUUGAAAUCUGGCCUCGGCCCGAGUUGUAAUUUGUAGAGGAUGCUUUUGGUGAGGUGCCUUGUGAGUUCCCUGGAACGGGACGCCAGAGAGGGUGAGAGCCCCGUAUACUUGGACACCGAGCCUCUGUAAAGCUCCUUCGACGAGUCGAGUAGUUUGGGAAUGCUGCUCAAAAUGGGAGGUAUAUCUCUUCUAAAGCUAAAUAUUGGCCAGAGACCGAUAGCGCACAAGUAGAGUGAUCGAAAGAUGAAAAGCACUUUGAAAAGAGGGUUAAAUAGUACGUGAAAUUGUUGAAAGGGAAGCGCUUGUGACCAGACUUGUGCCGGGCUGAUCAUCCAGUGUUCUCACUGGUGCACUCUGCCCGGCUCAGGCCAGCGUCGGUUCUCGGUGGGGGACAAAAGCUUCGGGAACGUAGCUCCUUCGGGAGUGUUAUAGCCCGCUGCUCAAUACCCUACCGGGGACCGAGGU